AGAGUUUGAUCCUGGCUCAGAGCGAACGCUUGCGGCGUGGAUUAGGCAUGCAAGUCGAACGGGAUCCAAUUGGUUCAAUUCUUCGGAAGAGAGCCUUUUGGUGAGAGUGGCGAACGGGUGAGGAACACGUGGGCAAUUUGCCCCCAAGUUCGGGACAGCCUCGGGAAACCGGGAUUAAUACCGGAUGUGAUCGUUCAUCGCAUGGUGAACUGUUUAAAGGUGGGGAUCCUUCGGGACCUGCCGCUUAGGGAUGAGCCCGCGGCCCAUCAGCUUGUUGGUAGGGUAACGGCCUACCAAGGCGAUAACGGGUAGCUGGUCUGAGAGGAUGGUCAGCCACACUGGGACUGAGACACUGCCCAGACUCCUACGGGAGGCUGCAGUCGAGAAUCAUUCGCAAUGCACGAAAGUGUGACGAUGCGACGCCGCGUGGAGGAUGACGGCCCUAGGGUUGUAAACUCCUGUCAUGAGGGAACAAGAGCACGGGUGUGAAUAGCGCUCGUGUUUGAUGGUACCUCAAAAGGAAGCCACGGCUAACUCUGUGCCAGCAGCCGCGGUAAUACAGAGGUGGCGAGCGUUGCUCGGAUUUACUGGGCGUAAAGGGUGCGUAGGCGGCGUGGUAUGUCGGGUGUGAAAUCUCACCGUCCAACGGUGAAACUGCAUUCGAAACUGCCGCGCUUGAGACCAGGAGGGGAGAGCGGAAUUCUUGGUGUAGCGGUGAAAUGCGUAGAUAUCAAGAGGAACGCCGGUGGCGAAGGCGGCUCUCUGGACUGGAACUGACGCUGAGGCACGAAAGCUGGGGGAGCGAAGAGGAUUAGAUACCCUCGUAGUCCCAGCCGUAAACGUUGUGUACUUGGUGUGGGCGGCUUUGUCCCCGUCCGUGCCGGAGCUAACGCGUUAAGUACACCGCCUGGGGAGUACGGCCGCAAGGCUAAAACUCAAAGGAAUUGACGGGGGCCCGCACAAGCGGUGGAGCAUGUGGCUUAAUUCGAUGCAACGCGAAGAACCUUACCUGGGCUUGACAUCCAACUGCACGCCCUGUGAAAGCAGGGAAGCCUUCGAGGGUGUUGGACAGGUGCUGCAUGGCUGUCGUCAGCUCGUGCCGUGAGGUGUUGGGUUAAGUCCCGCAACGAGCGCAACCCUUGUGAUUAGUUGCCACUUCGGCAGAAAUGCCGGAAGCACUCUAAUCAGACUGCCCGUUACAAGCGGGAGGAAGGUGGGGAUGACGUCAAGUCAGUAUGGCCCUUAUGUCCAGGGCUGCACACGUGCUACAAUGGACGGUACAGUGCGACGCAAGACCGCGAGGUGGAGCAAAUCGCCAAAACCGUCCGCAGUUCGGAUUGGAGUCUGCAACUCGACUCCAUGAAGCUGGAAUCGCUAGUAAAGGCGUAUCAGCUACGACGCCUUGAAUACGUUCCCGGGCCUUGUACACACCGCCCGUCACAUCACGAAAGUCGACUGCACCCGAAGUCGCCGGGCUAACCCGCAAGGGAGGCAGGUGCCGAAGGUGUGGUGGAUGAUUGGGAUGAAGUCGGAACAAGGUA
This 1541-nucleotide ribosomal RNA is filed under the name metagenome. RNAcentral describes it as "bacterial SSU rRNA". It matches the Rfam family "Bacterial small subunit ribosomal RNA". The record is from RNAcentral.